AACGCACAUUGCGCCCACCAGUAUUCUGGUGGGCAUGCCUGUCCGAGCGUCAUUUCAACCCUCAGGCCCAGCCUGGUGUUGGGGAUUGGCUUCGCGGCCACCCCCGAAAUGCAGUGGCGGCCCUCCGCGAACUCCUCUGUGCAGUAGUGAUACCUCGCAUUGGAUAGUGGUUGCGCCUCGCCGUAAAACCUCCAACUUCUCAAGGUUGACCUCGGAUCAGGUAGGAAUACCCGCUGAACUUAA
RNAcentral lists this unclassified non-coding RNA (243 nucleotides) under uncultured fungus. RNAcentral's name for it is "partial contains 5.8S ribosomal RNA, internal transcribed spacer 2, and large subunit ribosomal RNA". The stretch from base 1 to 52 matches the Rfam family "5.8S ribosomal RNA", at positions 103 to 154 of the family's 154-position model. RNAcentral also lists the same sequence under 1 other name. The record is from RNAcentral. Lineage: Eukaryota; Fungi.